Molecule: non-coding RNA, 4633 nt
Organism: Jatropha curcas
Lineage: Eukaryota; Viridiplantae; Streptophyta; Magnoliopsida; Malpighiales; Euphorbiaceae
Source: RefSeq, a predicted model, not a curated record
UGGAGGCUUCUAUCCGACGGUGUCGUUUUAAUGCUCCCUCUCUCCUGCCUAGCUCUUGAAGAGUUCGAGCUUUCUGCCAUGGGUUGCCUUUGAGGUCACCCUCAUCUAUCAUUUUCAGCUCCGAUGCUUCCUUUUAGUGCCCAGUUCUCACGAAGAUCGAUUUCUACUGUUGAGUUUGUACUUUAGAUUAAACUAAGCUCUUGCCCAUUUUUAGAUUGAACUUACUCGAAUUUGUUCAAGAUUGAUAUACGAGAUGAAUUGGAAAAACUCGACUUAAAUUACAUCCUAACUGAAAGAAGUUAACUACAACUGUGAAAUGCUAGAUGCGGUGGCCAGGUCAUGUAAUUGGGAGCGCAAGGCGACCUUCACUAGCGUUUUCAACCUUGCAAUCAAACACCAUAAGCACCAUUCCUACCUCACAGUUACAGCAACAAUUUUACGUUAACCUGUUGCGUAGAUGCUUAGAAACCUCCAAUAUAAGCCAUGGAAGAGCUAUUCACGCCGUUUUUAUCAAAACCCUUUUCCGUUCUCUUUAUCUCCAUAACCAUAUUCUCAAUUUCUAUAUCAAAUCUGGACAUUUGAACUAUGCUCUCAAAUUGUUCGAUGGAAUGCCUGCAAGAAAUGUUGUGUCUUGGUCCUCUGUCAUUUCUGGCUUUGUCCAACAUGGCUAUUCCGAUCAAGCUCUCUCUUUCUUUUCGCGCAUGCAUUUUGAUUCUUCAGUGUUGCCUAACGAGUUUACACUAGUUAGCGUUCUCCAUGCUUGCUCCUUAUCUAAGAAUUCUAUUCAUUUAUACCCAAUUUAUGUGAAUAUUAUUCGGCUAGCAUUUGAAUCAAAUGUUUUUGUGGUUAAUGCAUUUUUAACUGCUUUGAUACGGCAUGAAAAGUUUUUAGAGGCUAAAGAAGUUUUUGAUGGGUGUUCACAUAAGGAUAUGGUCACAUGGAACGUAAUGAUUUCUGGGUUGUUGCAGUAUUCUUAUUUAGAAUUACCAAAUUUUUGGUGUAGAAUGAAUUUUGAAGGUCACAAACCUGAUCAAUACACUUUUGCUGCUGCUUUUACUGCUUCUUCUGCUCUUACUAAUCUCAAUAUGGGUUUGCAAGUCCAUGCACAGCUUAUAAAGACUGGUCAUGGGGCUGAUAUUUGUGUUGGAAAUUCUUUGUGUGAUAUGUACAUAAAAAAUAGGAGGACAGUUGAUGGUUUGAAUGCUUUUCAUGACAUGACUUGUAAAGAUGUGCGUUCUUGGACCCAGAUGGCUGCUGUAUUCUUACAAUGUGGGGAACCAGGCAAAGCGCUUGAGAUUAUUGAAGAAAUGCUGUACAUUGGUGUGAAGCCAAAUAAGUUCACUCUUGCCACUGCACUUAAUGCUUGUGCUAAUUUGCCUUCGUUGGAGGAUGGAAAGAAAUUCCAUGGCCUGAGAAUCAAACUUGAUUCUCAGGUUGAUACCUGUGUUGAUAAUGCAUUAGUCGAUGUGUACGCAAAAUCGGGAUGCACAGAUGAGGCAUGGGCUGUUUUCCAGUCAAUGCCUAAUCGAACAGUUGUUUCAUGGACAACCAUGAUUAUGGGAUGUGCACAAAAUGGCCAAGCUAGAGAAGCUUUGGAAAUUUUUGAUGAGAUGAGAAUGGAAGGUGUAGAGCCAAAUUAUGUCACAUUCAUUUGUGUGCUUUAUGCAUGUAGCCAAGGGGGAUUUAUUGAUGAAGGGUGGAAAUAUUUCUUUUCCAUGUCUAAUGACCACGGAAUCACUCCAGGAGAAGAUCACUAUGCAUGUAUGGUGAAUCUACUUGGUCGUGCAGGGCAUAUUAAGGAAGCGGAGGAAUUGAUCUCAAGAAUGCCAUUUCAACCAGGUGUGCUUGUUUGGCAGACUUUAUUAGGUGCUUGUCGGCUGCAUGGGGAUAUGGAAACUGGAAAGCGAGCAGCAGAAUGUGCAAUCCAUUUGGAUGAAAUUGACCCUGCAAAUUAUGUUUUAUUAUCUAACAUGUUUGCUGGUAUAAAGAAUUGGGACAGUGUGGGGAUGUUGCGUAAAAUCAUGGAGAAUAGGGAUGUAAAGAAAGUGCCAGGAUCCAGUUGGAUUGAAGUAGAAAAAGUUUGCUCAGUUACAUGAGCUUGUCGGAGAACAGCAUGAAUGAAUGGAGACUAAGCAGCACGAUUUUAGGGAAGAGGCAGAGAAGAAGUGUAGAAGAAAGAGAGUAAAAAAUAAGAGCAGAGAAAUGGGGCUUAGGAAGAAAAUUCACGCAUUCACUAGUUACUUAAAGUAGCAGGCAACAAGAUGCAUCAAUAUUGUCUUGUUGUUCCCUACUUAAAGCCGUGGACAUAAUGAAAAGCUGCUGACAGUCUGCUACUCUUAAGUGGCAGAUGGGUGAUGUGGCACUUUGACAGGGUUCACUGCAGUUGUUUGACUCUCCCAGUCAGAAAAAAAAAACCACACCCUAGAUUAGUAACUAUUGUUCAACCCACCCUAUGUUGGUAAUUAUUUUUUUCCAAUAGCCCUCUUACUUAACUAGAUAAAAUUGUGGCUGGUGGGUACAUAGCAAUCUCAGUAAGUAAUCUAUAUUUAUUUCUGAUUAUGCUUUUUUUUUGUCCCCAGUAGUUACAUUAGAGGAAUACAGAGUUAAUGAGCUUGGAUAUGCACAAUGAUUGAAUAUUUUUGUUUGAGAUUCUUUUGAAGGAAGGGCCAAUUGUACCAGAAAUAGAUGCAAAAUCCGGAUUGUAGAUUGGAAUGUUAAAAUUAGUAUUCUAAAAUGCAACCAAACAUAGGUAGAGAAUCAAACAAUCUCAUCACAUGAACCUUGGAUAAUGUUGUCAUCAUUAUUGCAGCAAAUUUUGGGAUUUGUACGUCUCUUUAUUGCUGUUAGCACAGCAUUUUUAGUUUUAGUAAUCUAUGCAGAGCACAUUAUUCUUGUGGAACCAGCCUCGUCUACUAGGUAUGCCUUUUUAUUUAUGGCUGCAGUAUAUUGAUUUAUCAUUGGAAAAUUAUAGACUGGGAGUAUAUGCAUAGAAGGACUUGAUUGUUAUUGCUGAGUGAAGUUUACCUGAAUUGCUGAAAUUAUCUGGAAAAUGGCCUGACAGUUGGUGAAAUGUUAUGAACUGGAUCUUGAGAUAAAGGAAAGGAAUUCAACAAGAUGGUGUAGAGAGUUGAGUCAAAUAGACUUGACUUGCACUUCCCAAAUUAUCUUGGGAAGUGGCCAGAUACUACAAUCUUUUAAAAAAAAAUUACUGAUCAUUAGGUAAAUCCAUGGAUCCAGUUCUUUAUUUGGGACAUAGUUGUUGGUUGCUACUGAAAAUCAUGUUUCAGGUGCAUCAGAAUUGUAGAUGAAUGGCAAUAUAACUCUUAAUAUAGUGGAUAUUAAUGGAAAAUUUGCUAUUUUUUCUUAACUUUGAUGAACUGCUUUGAAUAUAGCAUUGUAAAUGUAAGUUUAACGUGAAGGUCUUCUUUUCUUUUUCUUCUCUUUGGUAAGUAAUUUUUUCUGACUCUGCAAUAGUUCAUAACUUCAUGUAGGUUCCUAAUUCAUAUUCCUGCUGUUUCUUUACAGUGAUUAUGUUCAUUUUAUGUUUCAGGAGACAGAUUGACAUGCUUGAAAGAUUGCCUCAUUUGUCGAGACCCGUCUCACCCAAUAUACCAAACUGAGACCUGGCUUCUCCAUUUUGAUUCAAAACUGAGGGGCCCCUGAUUUCUUUUUGGACCAGUUCCUGGCCAAUCCGAUUCUGGUUUGAAAUUGGUUCUUGGCUGGGUCUACUCAUUUGGCAUGGUUAAUAAUCUUGGGAGAUAAAUGUUUUGACUGAAAUGACUUUUGUGAAUUGUGGUAUGUGACCUUGUACUUGUUUCCCUCGCUUUCUAAUUAUUGUUAAACUCAUGAAAAGUGUCUACCAAGAUAUGGCUAAUAAAGAUGACAGAAGGUCCAUUUACCAGCCACUCCUGUUCAGGUGAGCCGACAAGCCAGGUACCAGAAACAGGAAAUACAAUUUUUAAUUCUAAUAUUGCCCUUCUUCUUUUUUUUUCUCUUUUUGAGAAUAUUGCCUUGUUGAGAGAGUAGCAAGAAUUCAAUUUAAUCAUUCUAUUCUAUGUUUAUCUUAACUAGAAAAAUGAUUUUAAGAGUUUCCACUUUUAGUAAUUUAGUUUAUUUCAAUUUGAUUUGGCUUAAUUUUAAUUUUUCAACUAUGUUCAAGUUGAAAGGGAUGAGUUUUAGGAUUUAAAAUCUUGAUGUCAUGCAUCAUUAGGAUAGUGACAUUAUACUAGCAAAAUGAUAUCCUUUUGACUACUUGCUUGGGGAGGGGAAUGUCUAGGAGCAGAAAAAUAAAUGGAAGAGUGAAAACCUAACUUCCCUGUUUUCCUCUACAAAAAAGUUUUGAACUUUAAUUAGUUUUACAAUGUUAUUUUGUAUGUUAUUUCUCAUUACAUCAUAUUGGUCAGCUAAAACUAAUAAUGUAGAUGCAUCAUAUUUAGGGCUAUGAGAAAAUCCAUUAGCAAAGACCCUAUCUUUUUGAUUGGCAAGUUUAAUUUCAUUUUACAAUAAGUAUUUUUUAUUUGAGUUGUUAUUUAAUUUUUCAAUUAAUGCUGAUAUGUGAUGUAUGAAGGUUGUAAUUAUUAUGAAUGAUAAAAAUAUAAGGUGUCGAUUAAUAAAAUUAGCUGUAAUUGUAAAA